GGAAAGUUUUUGAUUGUCAUCAGGUAAGUAUUGCAGAUGUCCUUAUAAUCAUCCAGUGUGGAAGUCGUCAGUGUUGUUGUCACCGAUGAUUGGCAUGAGUUGUUACGAGUUGAGAUUAGUUGGAAUCGUGUUAAACUGUAGUUGUGAGGUGAGUACAUCAUACAGACACACACACAAACAUUUAUACUUAUAGUGAGUGUCUGGAUCACUCUUUUAAUCGUUCAUCUAAAUGGAUUGCUGCAAUGUGUUUCUCAACGACAGCGAUUCAGUGAGACCCUCCAUAUUGCUGCCAUAUGCUGCGUCUAUUUGGUCAAGUGGGCCAAAUAGUUUGAUAUCAGCAGCUUUUAUGCCAGUGCACUAUAUUG
Drosophila sulfurigaster albostrigata is the source of this 365-nucleotide long non-coding RNA. RefSeq lists it as uncharacterized. The transcript is spliced from 3 exons. The record is from RefSeq and is a predicted model, not a curated record. NCBI's taxonomy places the organism in Eukaryota, Metazoa, Arthropoda, Insecta, Diptera, Drosophilidae.